RNAcentral lists this long non-coding RNA (1712 nucleotides) under Oryza sativa Indica Group (long-grained rice). RNAcentral describes it as "lncRNA OsMH63_03G015520". Lineage: Eukaryota; Viridiplantae; Streptophyta; Magnoliopsida; Poales; Poaceae. The record is from RNAcentral.
ACCCUGCACACCACCCUGUUGCUUCCCUACAUCCGCUACUUGAGACUCCUCCCCUAUCACCUAUCUCUUCCUACCCCAUCACAUCCCGUCCUCGAUCAGAUACACCUCCUCUUGUCACUUCCCUCUAUCCAUCCCAUCUCCUUCACCAAGGCCACCACUCCCCCUCAUCAUCAUCUCCUCAACCACCCCGUGUGUGCACAAUGGAAAGUAACCAACACAAAGCAUUAGAUCCACAGGAUUCUAUGGUUCAUUUAGAUCUGGAUGAAGAUAAGAUAAUGGUGACAUCAGCAUUACCAUGUCCUUCAAUGUCCGUGGGAAAAUCGGUUAUGAGGAAGAGGGGAAGACCAAGCAGGCAUGCACGAGGAACUUCGUUGUCUUCUGUUACCCCAGAAGGGUGCAAGAAGAUGGAGGGUCGAUCAUAUAAUUUGCGUAGUGAUUCAACAAUUUUGUUGAGAAAUUCAUGUUUGCUAAUAGCUGAUGGAUCGACAAAACAGAAGCCAUCUUGGGGACUUGACAAGGAUGACUUGCAUAUACCUUUCUUUCAAAUUUCAGAUAAUCCUAGGGAAGCUGUUGAUGAUAUACUCAUGACAUUUGGUGGACUACAUCAGAGGAUCAUGCAGUUGAUAGAUGUGAAAAUGGCUUCAAAACAGCUUGUCUUCCAAGCAUUGAACCUCAUGAGAAAAGCUGGAUAUCAUGUUAACAAGGACAAGAGGGUUGGAGAGGUCCCAGGAGUUAAAAUUGGUGACAUAUUCUACUCUAGAAUUGAGAUGCUCUUGGUAGGGCUACAUAGUAACAUCAAUGGAGGAAUUGAAUUCAUGUCUGGUGCUUUUGUUAAUAAGGAAGAUAAGAUAGCUACAUGCAUUGUGUCAUCUGAAAUGUAUGAGAAUGGUGAUGAUGACCCAUAUACUUUGGUAUAUAAUGGCCAAGGCAAAGUCCACCAUAAGCUUGAGAGAGGUAACUAUUCGUUGAAUCAGAGUUUUAUUAGAAGGAAUCAUAUUAGACUUAUUCGUAGUGAACCAAAUCCAUUGGUUAGGCUAGGCUCAAAGGAAAAAAUAUACAUAUAUGAUGGUCUUUAUAAGAUCGAAGAAAAGUACAGACAAACAACAAAAUCUCGUUCUAACUUAAAGUUCAAGUUGGUCAGGGAACUAGGCCAGCCUAAUGGCAUUGUAGUAUGGAAGAAUACUCAGAAAUGGAGGGAAAAUCCAUCUUGUAGAGAUCAUGUCAUAAUGCCUGACAUGUCAAAUGGUGCAGAAAUAGCUCGUGUUUGUGUUGUAAACAACAUUGAUAGUGAGGAUGCUCCUAACAACUUUACCUAUUCAACUAAACUUGAUAAUGGGAAUCAUAUGGUUUCAGCAAACAAGAUGUGUGUCUGCAAAUGCACAAGCUCAUGCCUUGGUGAAGACAAUUGCUCUUGUUUGAAAACAAAUGGCAGCUAUUUACCUUACAACUCUUCAGGAAUACUUGUUUGUCGAAAGACUAUGAUAUAUGAGUGCAAUGAUUCAUGUGCUUGCACAAUUAAUUGCUCGAACCGAGUGGUACAGAGGGGUUCCUAUCUACACUUUGAAGUGUUCAAGAUGAUGGAUCGAGGUUGGGGCCUUCGCAGUUGGGAUCCCAUUCCGGCGGGUGCAUUUGUAUGUGAAUAUGUUGGUGUAGUUAUUGACAAAGAUAGCUUAGUUGAAGAAGAUGAAUACAUAUUUGAGACCAGAGCAUAA